CAGUCGACGGUAACAUUUCGAGCUUGCUAAUAAGAUGACGAGUGGCGGACGGGUGAGUAAUGCUUGGGAACUUGCCUUUGCGAGGGGGAUAACAGUUGGAAACGACUGCUAAUACCGCAUAAUGUCUUCGGACCAAACGGGGCUUCGGCUCCGGCGCAAAGAGAGGCCCAAGUGAGAUUAGCUAGUUGGUAAGGUAACGGCUUACCAAGGCGACGAUCUCUAGCUGUUCUGAGAGGAAGAUCAGCCACACUGGGACUGAGACACGGCCCAGACUCCUACGGGAGGCAGCAGUGGGGAAUAUUGCACAAUGGGGGAAACCCUGAUGCAGCCAUGCCGCGUGUGUGAAGAAGGCCUUCGGGUUGUAAAGCACUUUCAGUUGUGGGAAAAGUUAGUAGUUAAUACCUGCUAGCCGUGACGUUAACAACAGAAGAAGCACCGGCUAACUCCGUGCCAGCAGCCGCGGUAAUACGGAGGGUGCGAGCGUUAAUCGGAAUUACUGGGCGUAAAGCGCACGCAGGCGGUUUGUUAAGCUAGAUGUGAAAGCCCCGGGCUCAACCUGGGAUGGUCAUUUAGAACUGGCAGACUAGAGUCUUGGAGAGGGGAGUGGAAUUCCAGGUGUAGCGGUGAAAUGCGUAGAUAUCUGGAGGAACAUCAGUGGCGAAGGCGACUCCCUGGCCAAAGACUGACGCUCAUGUGCGAAAGUGUGGGUAGCGAACAGGAUUAGAUACCCUGGUAGUCCACACCGUAAACGCUGUCUACUAGCUGUGUGUGCCUUUAAGGCGUGCGUAGCGAAGCUAACGCGCUAAGUAGACCGCCUGGGGGAGUACGGCCGCAAGGUUAAAACUCAAAUGAAUUUGACGGGGGCCCGCACAAGCGGUG
RNAcentral lists this ribosomal RNA (879 nucleotides) under Alteromonas macleodii. RNAcentral describes it as "bacterial SSU rRNA". It matches the Rfam family "Bacterial small subunit ribosomal RNA", at positions 59 to 934 of the family's 1533-position model. Lineage: Bacteria; Pseudomonadati; Pseudomonadota; Gammaproteobacteria; Alteromonadales; Alteromonadaceae. The record is from RNAcentral.